RNAcentral lists this ribosomal RNA (1141 nucleotides) under Micrococcus cohnii. RNAcentral describes it as "bacterial SSU rRNA". It matches the Rfam family "Bacterial small subunit ribosomal RNA", at positions 26 to 1177 of the family's 1533-position model. The record is from RNAcentral. Lineage: Bacteria; Bacillati; Actinomycetota; Actinomycetes; Micrococcales; Micrococcaceae.
AGGAUGAACGCUGGCGGCGUGCUUAACACAUGCAAGUCGAACGAUGAAGCCGGAGCUUGCUCUGGUGGAUUAGUGGCGAACGGGUGAGUAACACGUGAGUAACCUACCCUUGACUCUGGGAUAAGCCCGGGAAACUGGGUCUAAUACCGGAUAUGAGUCAUCACCGCAUGGUGGUGGUUUGAAAGAUUUAUCGGUCUUGGAUGGACUCGCGGCCUAUCAGCUUGUUGGUGAGGUAAUGGCUCACCAAGGCGACGACGGGUAGCCGGCCUGAGAGGGUGACCGGCCACACUGGGACUGAGACACGGCCCAAUCUCCUACGGGAGGCAGCAGUGGGGAAUAUUGCACAAUGGGCGGAAGCCUGAUGCAGCGACGCCGCGUGAGGGAUGACGGCCUUCGGGUUGUAAACCUCUUUCAGUAGGGAAGAAGCGAAAGUGACGGUACCUGCAGAAGAAGCACCGGCUAACUACGUGCCAGCAGCCGCGGUAAUACGUAGGGUGCGAGCGUUAUCCGGAAUUAUUGGCCGUAAAGAGCUCGUAGGCGGUUUGUCGCGUCUGUCGUGAAAGUCCGGGGCUUAACCCCGGAUCUGCGGUGGGUACGGGCAGACUAGAGUGCAGUAGGGGAGACUGGAAUUCCUGGUGUAGCGGUGGAUUGCGCAGAUAUCAGGAGGAACACCGAUGGCGAAGGCAGGUCUCUGGGCUGUAACUGACGCUGAGGAGCGAAAGCAUGGGGAGCGAACAGGAUUAGAUACCCUGGUAGUCCAUGCCGUAAACGUUGGGCACUAGGUGUGGGGAACAUUCCACGUUUUCCGCGCCGUAGCUAACGCAUUAAGUGCCCCGCCUGGGGAGUACGGCCGCAAGGCUAAAACUCAAAGGAAUUGACGGGGGCCCGCACAAGCGGCGGAGCAUGCGGAUUAAUUCGAUGCAACGCGAAGAACCUUACCAAGGCUUGACAUGUUCUCGUUCGCCGUAGAGAUACGGUUUCCCCUUUGGGGCGGGUUCACAGGUGGUGCAUGGUUGUCGUCAGCUCGUGUCGUGAGAUGUUGGGUUAAGUCCCGCAACGAGCGCAACCCUCGUUCCAUGUUGCCAGCACUUCGGGUGGGGACUCAUGGGAGACUGCCGGGGUCAACUCGGAGGAAGGUGGG